This 1024-nucleotide ribosomal RNA is filed under the name Cibicidoides wuellerstorfi. RNAcentral describes it as "bacterial SSU rRNA". It matches the Rfam family "Eukaryotic small subunit ribosomal RNA", at positions 1160 to 1828 of the family's 1831-position model. The record is from RNAcentral. Lineage: Eukaryota; Foraminifera; Rotaliida; Anomalinidae.
AAGGGCACCACAAGAACGCGUGGAGCAUGUGGCUUAAUUUGACUCAACGCGGGAAAUCUUACCGGGUCCGGACACACUGAGGAUUGACAGGCAAUAUUAAUACUUUGCUUCGGCAUUGUAUUAUGUUAAAUAUGCUAGUCCUUUCAUGAUUAUGUGAUAGGUGGUGCAUGGCCGUUCUUAGUUCGUGGAGUGAUCUGUCUGCUUAAUUGCGUUUCACUAAGGGCCUAUAAAUUUACGUAUGUUGUAUCGCACUUUGACCCCUUUCUUUAAUUAGAAAGCGCGUGUCUUAGUUUCGCUUUGCUCAUACAAUUAGGUCCUGAAAGCAACGAACGUGACCGCAACCUCUUGUUGCCUUUAUACCAAACAUGUUUAUUCAUUUUUUAAUGUUCAUUCAUGAAAAAAGGCUUUUUAAACUAGAGGGACCGCUGUUACUUUCUUAAACCAGAGGAAGGUUGCGGCAAUAACAGGUCUGUGAUGCCCUUAGAUGUUCCGGGCUGCACACGUGCUACAAUGAUUAUUGCAGUGAGCAUCUCAUUUUUACACACCGCAUGCGCGAGUCCAUUUAUUCACCUUCGGGUGUUUUAAAUGUGUACCUCUGCGCGCGGUAAAGCCUGCUUCGAAAGUAAGUGGGUAAUCAAUUAGAAGUAAUGAUUUCCUUUUUUAGCACACAUAUAUACGGCGUCUAUGCCCGGGUUACCUUGUUGUAGCUUUUGUGUGUAUAGAUGUUUUUUCCGUAUGUGCGAUUGUCAAUUCAUGGUGGGGACAGACCAUUGUUAAUUGUUGGUCUCGGUCUUAACUAGGAAUGCCUUGUACGGGUCUUUGGUUCAACAAACCACCCGGAAUACGUCCCUGCCCUUUGUACACACCGCCCGUCGCUCUUACCGAUGGACUUCUCUGUGAGUUUGAGGGACUGGGAACGCAGGAAUUUAUUUCUGCACACCUAUGGAAACUUAAACGAACAGUGUGGUCUAAAGGAAAGAGAAGUCGUAACAAGGCAUCGGUAGGUGAACCUGCAGAAGGAUCA